UUUAUUAGAAAUAUAUUUACACAAUAUGGUCAGAGCAACAUCAAGGAGUCGGAUGCUGGUGCACAGAUUCUCCUCAAAUUCCACAUGCAACCCUUGUAGAGAAGAACGACAUAUUUUUCUUAGGUGAUUUUUGACCGAGCUCCUACAGAAAAAUUCAAAGAAAUCAUGAGGAGCAUGGAGCCAAGCAAACUAAUCAGAGUAAAUCAUGAGAGGAGAAGCCUCUCAACCUACUACAGGGAAUCGAGUCAACAUUAAUUCGUGUAAGAAUUAAACCGAUAAAAUAACCCUGACACAACCCAUUAAUACAAUAUAUGGUCACAGGAAGUAGAUUUAGAUUGUGCAGAUAUCAUGAUCUACGAACCGUAUCUAUGAAUAUUGAUUGCAAAGUCACAAACAGAACCUCCUCACAUCACAAAACAAAUGUUUCAUCAACAGAAACUCUAGCGAAUGCCAAUUGGAUUAUAUAAGUAAGAUAGAGACAUCGAAAAAAAGAAAAGAUAAUUCAAAGAGUAUAUAUAUUCUAUUUUCUUACUUGACAUCACAGAGAAUGCAAGUCAAAGAUAUUGCGAUACAUCUUACCCUUCUAUAAAUUGACUGCAAGGCACAAUCCCCAGCAAAAUAUACAGAAUGAAUUGCUCCUAUGGUUCAAGUAUUGCAUAAAUAGUUAUAUACAGACUAUUCAACAGUGAGCAUAAACAUGGCAUGUACUACCAAAAUCCCUUUGCUAUGGAGCUUAGUCUGCAUGUCUAUUCGUCUUUCUGUAAAUCAGUUGUGGCCAAGAUGUGCUGACAGCUCACCAGCCUCUCCCCGUUUACCAAUAAAAUCAAAGAAGCUCAAAGCAAAAAAAAAAAAGAACAUAGAUAUAUCUACCUGAUGUAAUUGCUUGUAACUCCAGAGUGUUGGUAGAGUCGAGAAGAGAACACCCAGCCAAUGUUACAGCAGAUCGAUCUGCAGUCUUUGUUAGGGACGGCGCCAUCAUUAGAGGUCCCAAUUGUAAAUCAAUCUGCAAGAGAUGGAGAUGCGACUGGAAGCUUACGGAUUUGAUGCAUCAGAACAGCCAUGGCCCAUGGGCAGAGGAGAAGUGCCGGCAGCUGGGGAUCUGACGUGUCACAGACAGCAUGGGUAGAGGAGAGGCGGCGGCAGAUCAAGCCUUGGGCAUGGCAGGCGGAAGCAC
RNAcentral lists this long non-coding RNA (1174 nucleotides) under Triticum aestivum (bread wheat). RNAcentral describes it as "long non-coding RNA (TAES_LNC019870)". The record is from RNAcentral. Lineage: Eukaryota; Viridiplantae; Streptophyta; Magnoliopsida; Poales; Poaceae.